This 800-nucleotide ribosomal RNA is filed under the name uncultured bacterium. RNAcentral describes it as "bacterial SSU rRNA". It matches the Rfam family "Bacterial small subunit ribosomal RNA", at positions 8 to 822 of the family's 1533-position model. The record is from RNAcentral.
AGAGUUUGAUCAUGGCUCAGGAUGAACGCUGGCGGCGUGCCUAACACAUGCAAGUCGAACGGACUGGAAAGAGCUUGCUUUUUCCAGCCAGUGGCGGACGGGUGAGUAACGCGUGGGUAACCUGCCGUAUACAGGGGGAUAACAGUUAGAAAUGACUGCUAAUACCGCAUAAGCGCACAGUGCCGCAUGGCACAGUGUGAAAAGCCGAGACGGUAUACGAUGGACCCGCGUCUGAUUAGCCGGUUGGCGGGGUAACGGCCCACCAAAGCAACGAUCAGUAGCCGGCCUGAGUGGGUGGACGGCCACAUUGGGACUGAGACACGGCCCAAACUCCUACGGGAGGCAGCAGUGGGGGAUAUUGCACAAUGGGGGGAACCCUGAUGCAGCGACGCCGCGUGAGUGAAGAAGUAUUUCGGUAUGUAAAGCUCUAUCAGCAGGGAAGAAGAGAGACGGUACCUGAGUAAGAAGCACCGGCUAAAUACGUGCCAGCAGCCGCGGUAAUACGUAUGGUGCAAGCGUUAUCCGGAUUUACUGGGUGUAAAGGGAGCGUAGACGGCACGGCAAGUCUGAAGUGAAAGCCCGGGGCUCAACCGCGGGACUGCUUUGGAAACUGCCGGGCUGGAGUGCAGGAGAGGUAAGUGGAAUUCCUGGUGUAGCGGUGAAAUGCGUAGAUAUCAGGAGGAACACCGGCGGCGAAGGCGGCUUACUGGACUGUAACUGACGUUGAGGCUCGAAGGCGUGGGGAGCAAACAGGAUUAGAUACCCUGGUAGUCCACGCGGUAAACGAUGAUCACUAGGUG